AUCUAUGACCGUACCACCGCGAAUGUGCCCUAUUCCAUCUGAUCUCAGAACCUAAGCAGGAUCAGGCCUGGUUAAUACUGAGAUGGAGAAAUCAUCUGAAAGAAUAUGUAGUUUAGUAA
This 119-nucleotide ribosomal RNA is filed under the name Chinchilla lanigera (long-tailed chinchilla). The record is from RNAcentral. Lineage: Eukaryota; Metazoa; Chordata; Mammalia; Rodentia; Chinchillidae.